This 388-nucleotide ribosomal RNA is filed under the name uncultured Methanosaeta sp. RNAcentral describes it as "bacterial SSU rRNA". It matches the Rfam family "Archaeal small subunit ribosomal RNA", at positions 952 to 1338 of the family's 1478-position model. The record is from RNAcentral. Lineage: Archaea; Methanobacteriati; Methanobacteriota; Methanomicrobia; Methanotrichales; Methanotrichaceae.
GGUCAGGCUGAAGACCUUACCCGAUUAGCUGAGAGGUGGUGCAUGGCCGUCGUCAGUUCGUACUGUGAAGCAUCCUGUUAAGUCAGGCAACGAGCGAGACCCACGUCCACAGUUGCCAGCAUACCCGUCCGGGGUGAUGGGUACACUGUGGAGACCGCCGCUGCUAAAGCGGAGGAAGGAGUGGGCAACGGUAGGUCAGUAUGCCCCGAAUCUCCCGGGCUACACGCGGGCUACAAUGGUUGGUACAAUGGGCAUCUACCCCGAAAGGGGAAGGAAAUCUCUUAAAGCCAAUCGUAGUUCGGAUUGAGGGCUGCAACUCGCCCUCAUGAAGCUGGAAUCCGUAGUAAUCGCGUUUCAACAGAACGCGGUGAAUACGUCCCUGCUCCUU